Baffinella frigidus is the source of this 83-nucleotide non-coding RNA. Lineage: Eukaryota; Cryptophyceae; Cryptomonadales; Baffinellaceae. The record is from the annotation of a GenBank genome assembly.
UCAAUCCUAAACCGAGUGGUUAAGGCGGCAGCUUUAGGCGCUGCUCUCCUAUGGAGGCGUGCGUUCGAGCCACCGGUGUCAAA